This is a long non-coding RNA of Gossypium arboreum, 602 nucleotides long. RefSeq lists it as uncharacterized. Lineage: Eukaryota; Viridiplantae; Streptophyta; Magnoliopsida; Malvales; Malvaceae. The record is from RefSeq and is a predicted model, not a curated record. The transcript is spliced from 2 exons.
AUCCCUCUAAGAAGUUCUGAGCUCACAAAAAUCCGAUUCUUCUUUUAAAAUUUUUAAAAAAUGUCUUCUUUUUUAAUUUUUUUAAAAGAAAGGGAGAAACAAAAGCGAUGUGAUGAUAGAAACUCGUAAUUCACUGAUCUAAUAAUUUGAUGUUACAUUGAAGUUCCGACAGGUUCCACAACCAUAUGAGAUUUCUCUUGGAACGGUUUGGAGGGUGUCGCCUGUUUUCUUCCGACAUCGGUAAUGGUCUUUGCACUCUUUCUUUAAAAACUUAUAUAAAUCUUAACCUUGUUUGUUAAUAAGAUUUUUAUGAUUUGCACACUUGUUUUGCAUGUCCAUUGUACGCCUAAGGUGCAGGAGAGAAGAUGAUACAUUUUGUCUAUUUUCUUAUUUAGGAUGAACAAAAGGUAUGCAUAGGAGUGAGCACAUAAUUUGUGGAGGGAAUCUGAACAAGUUUUUGUAGUUUGUACAUGAUAGAUUUCUUUAUUAUAUUGUCUUUUUGAGAAAGAUCUCUCACCUUGCUAUAUGGUGUACAAUGUUUUGAAGAAUGCAUACAUGUAAUUAAGAUUUUGAUAUGCUGGUUCAGUAUAUUCUUAUGUGGA